This 753-nucleotide ribosomal RNA is filed under the name Acinetobacter oleivorans. RNAcentral describes it as "bacterial SSU rRNA". It matches the Rfam family "Bacterial small subunit ribosomal RNA", at positions 97 to 843 of the family's 1533-position model. The record is from RNAcentral. Lineage: Bacteria; Pseudomonadati; Pseudomonadota; Gammaproteobacteria; Moraxellales; Moraxellaceae.
GGCGGACGGGUCGUAGUAAUGCUUAGGAAUCUGCCUAUUAGUGGGGGACAACAUCUCGAAAGGGAUGCUAAUACCGCAUACGUCCUACGGGAGAAAGCAGGGGACCUUCGGGCCUUGCGCUAAUAGAUGAGCCUAAGUCGGAUUAGCUAGUUGGUGGGGUAAAGGCCUACCAAGGCGACGAUCUGUAGCGGGUCUGAGAGGAUGAUCCGCCACACUGGGACUGAGACACGGCCCAGACUCCUACGGGAGGCAGCAGUGGGGAAUAUUGGACAAUGGGGGGAACCCUGAUCCAGCCAUGCCGCGUGUGUGAAGAAGGCCUUUUGGUUGUAAAGCACUUUAAGCGAGGAGGAGGCUACCGAGAUUAAUACUCUUGGAUAGUGGACGUUACUCGCAGAAUAAGCACCGGCUAACUCUGUGCCAGCAGCCGCGGUAAUACAGAGGGUGCAAGCGUUAAUCGGAUUUACUGGGCGUAAAGCGCGCGUAGGUGGCCAAUUAAGUCAAAUGUGAAAUCCCCGAGCUUAACUUGGGAAUUGCAUUCGAUACUGGUUGGCUAGAGUAUGGGAGAGGAUGGUAGAAUUCCAGGUGUAGCGGUGAAAUGCGUAGAGAUCUGGAGGAAUACCGAUGGCGAAGGCAGCCAUCUGGCCUAAUACUGACACUGAGGUGCGAAAGCAUGGGGAGCAAACAGGAUUAGAUACCCUGGUAGUCCAUGCCGUAAACGAUGUCUACUAGCCGUUGGGGCCUUUGAGGCUUUAG